This 387-nucleotide long non-coding RNA is filed under the name Vigna radiata. RNAcentral describes it as "long non-coding RNA (VRAD_LNC015523)". The record is from RNAcentral. Lineage: Eukaryota; Viridiplantae; Streptophyta; Magnoliopsida; Fabales; Fabaceae.
GGGUAAGUCUGAGUAUCGUUUUUCCAAAGGACUCUUAGGCCUUAACUUUCAUGUAAUCUAAUCGCGUAGGACUUGAGAAAAGAUAAUUAAUUUGGUGGUUAUAUGCAAAGAAUAAAAAUAAACAUGCAAUGCAGUUGAUUCAAUUGGUUUAGAGAAACUAUGGAUGAAUGGUGUUGUUGGGGUUUACAAUUUCAUCUUAUCCAUUCCCAUAUAUCUAGUCUUCUUAUUUAAUUCACUUGUUUAUCUAAUUGACAUGCAUACUUUCUUAAUUACCCUUAACCCAAUUCCUUGGUGAAAAGAGCCUAUUACUAAUUACCGGCUUGCUAUCCCUAGCCUCCCCUAGUAACCAAUAAUGCAAUGCGUUCUGAAGCAAAUACAAUUGACCGU